GUGGGGGAUAUUGGUCAAUGGGGGAAACCCUGAACCAGCAACGCCGCGUGAGGGAAGACGGCCUUCGGGUUGUAAACCUAAGUGAUCAGGGACGAAGGAAGUGACGGUACCUGAAAAGCAAGCUCCGGCUAACUACGUGCCAGCAGCCGCGGUAAUACGUAGGGAGCGAGCGUUGUCCGGAUUUACUGGGUGUAAAGGGUGCGUAGGCGGGAAAGCAAGUCAGGUGUGAAAUACCGGGGCUCAACUCCGGGGCUGCGCUUGAAACUGUUUUUCUUGAGUGAAGUAGAGGCAGGCGGAAUUCCUAGUGUAGCGGUGGAAUGCGUAGAUAUUAGGAGGAACACCAGUGGCGAAGGCGGCCUGCUGGGCUUUAACUGACGCUGAGGCACGAAAGCAUGGGGAGCAAACAGGA
RNAcentral lists this ribosomal RNA (409 nucleotides) under uncultured bacterium. Its description in RNAcentral is "bacterial SSU rRNA". It matches the Rfam family "Bacterial small subunit ribosomal RNA", at positions 354 to 777 of the family's 1533-position model. The record is from RNAcentral.